RNAcentral lists this ribosomal RNA (107 nucleotides) under Bacillus paralicheniformis. Its description in RNAcentral is "partial 23S ribosomal RNA". It matches the Rfam family "Bacterial large subunit ribosomal RNA", at positions 2819 to 2925 of the family's 2925-position model. Lineage: Bacteria; Bacillati; Bacillota; Bacilli; Caryophanales; Bacillaceae. The record is from RNAcentral.
UAUAAGGAAGUAAGAUCCCUGAAAGAUGAUCAGGUUGAUAGGUCUGAGGUGGAAGUGUGGCGACACAUGGAGCUGACAGAUACUAAUCGAUCGAGGACUUAACCUAA